CUAACGGCUGAACUGGCAACUUGGAGAAGUGGCAAGUCUUCCAGUAUGGGGAGCAAAACAGCUAUGGGUCAAGUCCGAUAUCUUUAGGAGAAGUCUUAUUGUGAGGGCGAGUUAUAUAACACCAUAGGACUGGCCGUCCCAUAUGAAAAGAUUAUAUUAGAAUUGAAUGAAGCUUUGUUUAUAUAUUGAUAAUGACAGUAUAUAUAUCGUGUCUUGACUAAUUGCGUGCCAGCAGUCGCGGUAAUACGUAAGAGACUAGUGUUAUUCAUCUUAAUUAGGUUUAAAGGGUACCCAGACGGUCAAUAUAGCUUAUAAAAUGUUAGUACUUGACUAGAGUUUUAUGUAAGAGGGCAGUACUUGAGGAGGAGAGAUGAAAUUUCGUGAUACCAAAGGGACUCUGUAAAGGCGAAGGCAGCCCUCUAUGUAAAAACUGACGUUGAAGGACGAAGGCACAGAGAACAAACAGGAUUAGAUACCCAAGUAGUCUUUGCAGUAAAUGAUGAAUGCCAUAGGUUAGAUUGGUCAAUUAUAGUCUAGGGUUAGUCUAGCAAACUAAUACCCUAUGCUAUAAUCCUAAUAUCUGGUCUAUAAAUGAAAGUGUAAGCAUUUCACCUCAAGAGUAAUGUGGCAACGCAGGAACUGAAAUCACUAGACCGUUUCUGACACCAGUAGUGAAGUAU
Molecule: ribosomal RNA, 680 nt
Filed under: Fusarium oxysporum
Lineage: Eukaryota; Fungi; Ascomycota; Sordariomycetes; Hypocreales; Nectriaceae
Description: mitochondrial SSU rRNA
Rfam family: Bacterial small subunit ribosomal RNA
Source: RNAcentral